GCACUGCACUACUGAUUUAUGGAGACAUAGACAGUAUCUGCCUGAAAUCUCUUUGGUCAGUCCUUCAGCUGAGGAGAAACAGCUGCCUGCUGAGGAGAAGACAAGACUGCCCUAGGACUUGUUUCCAAAGUCCUCUGCUGCUACAAAAGGCACUUCUCCUUCUAGACUUGACUGGCAGAGUGGUUCUGGAGCUUGGCUGCAUCCUCUUCCACAGAGAAGGUUAUAAAAAGAAAGCCCAAACUUCAAACCAACCAAAAAAACCCCUUGAAACUAAACUCGAUUUCUGACUCCCCUUUGAAACGGAAGUAAUUUUCUUUCCAUGUAGCUCUACCAAUCGUCCUCUUUGCUGUCUGUUACAUUAAACUAUGCUACUCCGAUGUCUUCUCGAG
RNAcentral lists this long non-coding RNA (389 nucleotides) under Struthio camelus australis. RNAcentral's name for it is "lncRNA (ENSSCUG00000005631.1)". Lineage: Eukaryota; Metazoa; Chordata; Aves; Struthioniformes; Struthionidae. The record is from RNAcentral.